AAUUCGAAGAUACACGAAGAACCUUACCUGGCCUUGACAUGGUAGGAACCCUUAAGAGAUUAGGGGGUGCUAGCUUGCUAGAACCUACACACAGGUGCUGCACGGCUGUCGUCAGCUCGUGUCGUGAGAUGUUGGGUUAAGUCCCGCAACGAGCGCAACCCUCGUCCUUAGUUGCUAACAGUUCGGCUGAGCACUCUAGGGAGACUGCCUUCGCAAGGAGGAGGAAGGUGAGGACGACGUCAAGUCAUCAUGGCCCUUACGGCCAGGGCUACACACGUGCUACAAUGGGGCGUACAGAGAGCUGCGAUACCGCGAGGUGGAGCCAAUCUCUUAAAGCGUCUCUCAGUUCGGAUUGUUCUCUGCAACUCGAGAACAUGAAGCUGGAAUCACUAGUAAUCGCAGAUCAGCUAUGCUGCGGUGAAUACGUUCCCGGGCCUU
Molecule: ribosomal RNA, 438 nt
Filed under: uncultured Sulfuricurvum sp.
Lineage: Bacteria; Pseudomonadati; Campylobacterota; Epsilonproteobacteria; Campylobacterales; Sulfurimonadaceae
Description: bacterial SSU rRNA
Rfam family: Bacterial small subunit ribosomal RNA
Source: RNAcentral